AUUCACUAUAGAAACUAGACAAAUUAAGAUCAACCAAGAUCUUUAAUUGAAAAAAUGUGCACAUGUACAAGCUACUCUUCAGUACGAGCUAGCACUCCAUAUUCUCCACCAGAUUCAUUACCCUCAUAGAAGGAGCCAGUUCCAAGGCAAUCACGCUCAACAGAGUAGUCAUGAUUCGUGAAUCCGCAGCAACCAAGUAAACUUGAAAUUUUUGAAAGAAGUCUACGUUAGAAAUUAUUAGAAAAUAGAAAGGGAAAGGGGGGUUUUGAGCAGAUAGCAGCUUUUCUUGUCUGUCUCAAGCCUCUAAGUCUAAAGUUUAAGGGAUUAGGGAAUUAGGGGUUUUGGGUAUGGGCUUAGGCUUAUUGAUACUAUGCACCUAACAUAUAUCCACUGUCAAUAAGUUUGCAAAGCGUAAUAAUACAAAAAUCUGCCACCAUCGUCAAUUGUUCAAACAGUUCAAACAUCUGUGAAAUGAAUGCUAUUUAUCCACUGUCAUUCCAGCUAAGGUAAAUCAUAUUCAUAUAUAAGGAAGUUUGAUAAUUUGGAUGAAGAUAGUGCGAGCAUCUCUAGAAUAGCAGCAGAUAAAAUAUGCACAUGAAUUCUAAACUCAGAAUGGCAACUAGAAUAUAGCAAUGCAAUUCAUCAUUCUGGAGAAGUUUGCAAAGCGUAAUAUAUAUCCUAGCAUAUAUAGUUCUUGGUAUCAACAAGUAUAAUUCUAAAUUGAAUAACCUAAAAAAAACAGAAAGAUAGUCGUUUAUUUCUUAGCAAAAGAACAGCCCCGCUUUAUUUCAUGCAAUAUUAAAUCAGUACUUUUUUCAUUUUAAAUAAGCAAUAUUAAUACCUGGAAUGAGUUGGCCUUCUUUGUUGAUAUUAGUAGAUGGACGACGGAUUGGUUGUAAAGUUGCUUGUUGUGCAAAAGAAGCUUCUCCUAGAGAAUUAUCACCCAAUGCCGCUAGAAUAAUGUUAGCAUCAAUAUCAAUUCCUGAACACUGAAGUCGUGCAAGGACAUCUGCAACAACUUCUUGACGGAUAGUUGCCUUUUGUUCCUCAAUUUUUUCCUCCAUUCUUUGUAUAUUCUCCUCCAUUUUUUGUAGAUAAUUUGUAGUAUUUGAAGAGGAUUCAAAACAUCCUACUUUCCCUCUCAAAGAAUUCUUGUAACCCCUCGUCCAUACAAUCUCAGGCGUCCCGGAUGUCCAGGCCCCAUGAUAGAUGCAAAUGCAUCUACGGACUCACUAAGCACUAGUUUCUUCCAUUUCAUUUUGAGCGUGAUAAAAUCAAUAGUCAAUGAGGGGAGCAGUGCCAUCAGAGAACGUAGCAUCUAACUGAAACCACAGAUUUUGGAUCUGGCUUUUAAAAGGAAUUGCUUGGACUUUGGAUUUAAGGACUUACUGGAGAAAAGGAAUCAAUCUGCUUUUUCUGCAUCAUUAGGUUUCAUACUGCACCAUUUGGAAACUAGGGAGAGCCAGUUUCAUUACAUUUAGUUGUAUUAAAUGGUUUACUAUGAUGCUUUAAUUUUAUAAAGUUUCAACAAAAAAGAUAUAAGCAUACUUGUAGCUUUUUCACCUUUCUGAUAUGUACAUCUUUCUGAUAUGUACACCAGCUUUUGGGAUUAGUAAGCUCAAGGCCCUGUGGUUGUGCAUUUAGGUAGCUUUUUCAACUGAGAAAUUGUGCCUUUUGCACCCUAGUUCAUCUUGCAGCCCCUUACUAGUUAAGUAAUGAAUAGUGCCUUUUGCACCCCAGUUCACCCCCAGAAAAUAAUAACUUAAUAGAUACAUAUCAUCAGUGGGAAACACUUAGAAAGCUGCUCCUAACCAUGAAUU
This 1820-nucleotide long non-coding RNA is filed under the name Nicotiana tabacum (common tobacco). Its description in RNAcentral is "long non-coding RNA (NTAB_LNC014612)". Lineage: Eukaryota; Viridiplantae; Streptophyta; Magnoliopsida; Solanales; Solanaceae. The record is from RNAcentral.